GCCCCCAGUCCCGCCCCGACAGAUCGUGUUCGUCCUCUAGAUCGCUGAGACGAGUAGACGACCGUCGUCUCCUCCCCGCCCCGCUCGCGCAAAGCCCGAGCCCUCCCACCCGAUAUCGCAACAGAGGUCCGCCCCGCCCCUCUGUUUAAUCCCGCGUGACAUGCAUCAGAUGCAGAUGCAACACCGCCACGACGUCGAACGGCGAUAGUGAGAUGUCCCACGCCACCUCCUCCUCUGCGCUCCCCGUUCCCCAGGUCGCGCGCACCUGCUCCCGCACCGGAGAACCCACCGCACGUUGGCCUCGUCCCGAGAUGUCGGCGACGCUGUGCUUCAUGGGGGUUGCGAGGGAGUCUCUGUCUCUGGACGCGCCCGUCGCCGCCCCCAAGCUCGGGAGGGAGCGGCGCUCGGCCCUCGCGAGCGCGAACUCGGGGCCACAAUGCUGGAGGUGGAGGAGGGGCCUGGCGAUGCGCUGCCAGACGGGGUCCACCGCAGCGCCCUUCCUCAGGACGGAGGAGGCCCCCGCGGCCGCGUCGGGGGCAAGGAAUGCCCAGGCGGGGUUCACCAUCGUCAUGAAGUUCGAUGGCUCGUCGCUCGCUUCAGUCGAGCGGAUGCGGGAGGUGGCCGGCCUCAUCCUUAGUGCAGGGGAAAGGACACGCCUUCCUCUCGACCGCACGGAAGGGAAGAUUCAUACCACAGCCGACAGAGUCAGGCGCAAGAUGGCUAUCACAGAACCGAUAUAGAGAUUGAUGUGUUUGCCGUGCGCUCCGGCAGCAGCGAUUCCGACAGGCCCCACGGCGGUCGCAACCCAGCCAGCGGCGAGAACCCUGGGACAAGGACAAUUACUAGCGUCGGCGCUACAGCAAGCGGAUCAGGCCAAGAGGACCUGCUUGUGGCCACCAAUAUUACAGAGGCGUGUAAGAGUGAAUCCAGUCUCGCUGCUCCGCCAUCGAAGCCGUCUGUAUCUUUUUGUUUUGUUUUGGUCGGAGUUUAUUUGCUCUAGAGAGACCAGUCACCUGGUAUGGAACAUCUACUAAUUUCAGAGAAUUUUGCAUGUUCGUCUCGGUGUGUCGUUACACAAUUUGCGGAUGUUGCAACGACACUGAAUCCUGCGUAGAGGUGACGGGCGGCGAAGAAGCUAGCCAAGCUGUGAAAACGGACACGGACAUAUGGGGUUUGUGCUAGAGGAUGCUAAAGGUCUAUCACUUAAUGGGGACCUCAAUGUGCAUCCAGUGAUUGCAAGGUCUUUUCCCCUACACACCCAAUCUUUUUGGUAAGAUGGUGAAAUGGAUUUGCCCACUUUAAGAUUGAGCAUACUGAGGUGUAUGUGUGUAUUUAUGUUUGUGUUUACCUCUUAAUUUUUGUCCUAUAUAUAAUUAUUUUUUUGCAUGAUAACUGGGAAUUGUAUGUUGUGUCACGACCAUCCAACAGUUUAUGAACUAUACUCAUCAAGUCUUGGUGGUGCUCCUAAUGCAAAUGGGGAUUCAAUGACAACACGAGUAGCUGUUGAUCACCAUAUGCAUCAAGAUUUUCAACCAACAAGUAAAAGUUCAGACAUGUCUUUCAGUCACAUUAUUGCUCUGGAUGUCAAGGAGCACCCUGUCGUCAUCUAUAUGAAGGGUUAUCCUGAUGCUCCUAGGUGUGGGUUCAUUGCAUUAGGAGUGAAGGUCGUCCAUCAAUAUGGUAAUUUGUCUAUAAGUGCGGCUUAUUUCAAAUGCAAGUUACGGUGGUAUCGUCUUCAAGCACACCUCUUCAAGCAGCAGUUGCCGAUGUUCAAAAGGUAUCGUAGUUUAACACACAAGUUACUGUGGUUUGUCAAAAAAAAGAACAAUAGCACAUCUUGCUGUUAUCAUACCACUUUAAUUUGUUGAAAGGAAAAGGUUCCAAAUAGAAGGCGAAUGUUGAGUUGUAACUCAUUUGUAUUU
RNA transcript from Zea mays, 1922 nucleotides. RefSeq lists it as uncharacterized. The record is from RefSeq and is a predicted model, not a curated record. Lineage: Eukaryota; Viridiplantae; Streptophyta; Magnoliopsida; Poales; Poaceae. The transcript is spliced from 3 exons.